Micropterus salmoides (largemouth bass) is the source of this 1203-nucleotide long non-coding RNA. RefSeq lists it as uncharacterized. Lineage: Eukaryota; Metazoa; Chordata; Actinopteri; Centrarchiformes; Centrarchidae. The transcript is spliced from 3 exons. The record is from RefSeq and is a predicted model, not a curated record.
UAAUAUUAAAGGCUGAGGUUAGUAUUUUUAAAUAUGGGGAUCAUAUAACUGAAACAGGGUUGGGGGGUAGCUACUGUGAACAGAACAUGUUCUGUAGGACGUGUAUCAAAUGCAACAACACAUUGUCUGUUUUCAGCUUCUCAAAUGUGAGGAUCUGCUUCUUUUCUACCUUUUAAAUUGAAUAUAUUUGGGUUUUGGGCUCCUUAUUUUUUGUCACAUCUGUGGAGCUUUCUAUGUAUAUGGAUCAUGGGAUCGAACGUUUGUGGACUACAUUUCCCAAGAGCACUUGCAACAAUAUGCACAGGUGAACUCACUAACUUACAUGUUUUGAUGUUUUGAGUUCUCCUUUCACUAAACAUUUGCCCUGGUGAAGGUCUGUUCACCGUCUUCCUUUCUACAUCAGUCGCUGCAGAGCUGUGUUACACCGCCCUCUGCAGGCGGCUGGAGGUCACUACACUACAAGUGAGUGGAGGGUGCAAUGAUACAGCGCGGCCGGUAGGAUGCGCACUAAUAUAAAUCUGUGAGGGCAGCGUCUACCAACUCCCAUCAAGCUUAACCAUUAAAGGAAAAGGUUGUAUCCCUACGCCGUGUAAACUCAAUUGGAUAUGGGCUGGUCCAACAAUCUAUAAAUUUUUAUGUUUAUAUGAUAUUAUGGUAUGUUUAUGUGUCUGUUAUAGACUGACUAAUCAGUCUUUUUACCUCUGUAGUUUGUUCUCCUUGCUUUGAAUGUUUUAUAAGCACUUUGCUAAAAUCACGUUUCGUUGCUGUGCAACCAACGGCCCUCUGGGGGCAAAAUAAGUGAACACUGACUGAUUGAUAACAACAGUAUGUGAGUGCACUCUUUUGAAGCAUAUUGGUGUAAAGUGUUAUUCUGCUCAGAGCCCACUGUAUCAAAAUUGCUGAAGAAAGUAGUCAGAGCAGCUUUUAACUGAACAAACAAAAUCAGGCUUUACACAUUUAUAAAUCUGUUCCUGCAGUUUUGCAGAUUGAUAACAGCUUGAAUGUAUUUUGCAUUCAUGUUUGCUUACUAGUGUUUCUAAUUAAUAAAUCUCCCCAGACAAAUGUGGAUGGCACAGAGAGAGAACGCAGUUUAUCGGGCGUGUGCGGUCCUGCACACUCAUCCAGAAUAUCAAUACGUCUGCAUGAUCAGACUGCAGCAGCAUGCAUCUUUGUCAGUGAAGCUGUGUAUGAAUUCAUGUCUAU